This 493-nucleotide ribosomal RNA is filed under the name uncultured bacterium. RNAcentral's name for it is "partial 16S ribosomal RNA". It matches the Rfam family "Bacterial small subunit ribosomal RNA", at positions 28 to 506 of the family's 1533-position model. The record is from RNAcentral.
GACGAACGCUGGCGGCGUGCUUAACACAUGCAAGUCGAACGGUGAAGCGCCUUCCUUUUUGGUGGGUGUGGAUGAGUGGCGAACGGGUGAGUAACACGUGAGUACCCUGCCCCCUUCUUCUGGAUAACCGCAUGAAAGUGUGGCUAAUACGGGAUAUUCUGGGUCUGUCGCAUGAUGGGUCUGGGACAGAUAUUGUUUCGGUGGGGGAUGGGCUCGCGGCCUAUCAGCUUGUUGGUGGGGUGAUGGCCUACCAAGGCGGUGACGGGUAGCCGGCCUGAGAGGGGGAGAGGGCCAAAGGAGAGUGGGAAACGCCCCAGAGUCCGGGGGGGGGCGGCGGUGUGGAAGAGGGGCAAAGGGGGGAAAGCAAGAUGCGGCGACGCCGGGGGGGGGAGGGAGGCCUUCGGGGUGUAAACCUCUUUCGGAGGUGAAGCGGGCCUCCGUCGGUUGUGGGUGGGUUGGAGGUAGUUGGUAAAGAGGCGCAGGAUAAUUACGU